RNAcentral lists this ribosomal RNA (717 nucleotides) under uncultured bacterium. Its description in RNAcentral is "bacterial SSU rRNA". It matches the Rfam family "Bacterial small subunit ribosomal RNA", at positions 129 to 865 of the family's 1533-position model. The record is from RNAcentral.
CCCUCAAGUGGGGGAUAACCUCGAGAAAUUGGGGCUAAUACCGCAUAAGCUGGCUUCCCUUAUAGAAGCCAGCAAAGCUUUGGCGCUUGAGGAGGAGCUUGCGUCCUAUCAGGUUGUUGGUGGGGUAAGAGCCUACCAAGCCGAAGACAGGUAGCUGGUCUGAGAGGAUGGUCAGCCAGAUGGGAACUGAGAUACGGUCCUGACUCCUACGGGAGGCAGCAGCAAGGAAUCUUGCGCAAUGGGCGAAAGCCUGACGCAGCGACACCGCGUGGGGGAAGAAGGCUUUCGGGUUGUAAACCCCUUUUCCUGGGGAAGAGGAAGGACGGUACCCAGGGAAUAAGUCUCGGCUAACUACGUGCCAGCAGCCGCGGUAAGACGUAGGAGGCAAGCGUUAUCCGGAUUUAUUGGGUGUAAAGGGCGUGUAGGUGGUUCCCCAAGUUGACUGUGAAAUCUCCCGGCUCAACCGGGAGGGAUUGGUCAAUACUGGGGGGCUUGAGGGCAGCAGAGGGGAGUGGAAUUCCCGGUGUAGCAGUGAAAUGCGUAGAUACCGGGAGGAACACCAGUGGCGAAGGCGGCUCCCUGGGCUGCUUCUGACGCUGAGGCGCGAAAGCGUGGGGAGCGAAGCGGAUUAGAUACCCGCGUAGUCCACGCCCUAAACGUUGGACACUAGGUAUGGGGGGUAUCGACCCUCUCCGUGCCGAAGCUAACGCUUUAAGU